CCGGCGAUUUCCGAAUGGGGAAACCCAGUGUGAUUCGUCACACUAUCAUUAACUGAAUCCAUAGGUUAAUGAGGCGAACCGGGGGAACUGAAACAUCUAAGUACCCCGAGGAAAAGAAAUCAACCGAGAUUCCCCCAGUAGCGGCGAGCGAACGGGGAGGAGCCCAGAGCCUGAAUCAGUGUGUGUGUUAGUGGAAGCGUCUGGAAAGGCGUGCGAUACAGGGUGACAGCCCCGUACACAAAAAUGCACAUACUGUGAGCUCGAUGAGUAGGGCGGGACACGUGGUAUCCUGUCUGAAUAUGGGGGGACCAUCCUCCAAGGCUAAAUACUCCUGACUGACCGAUAGUGAACCAGUACCGUGAGGGAAAGGCGAAAAGAACCCCGGCGAGGGGAGUGAAAAAGAACCUGAAACCGUGUACGUACAAGCAGUGGGAGCCUCUUAAUGGGGUGACUGCGUACCUUUUGUAUAAUGGGUCAGCGACUUAUAUUCUGUAGCAAGGUUAACCGAAUAGGGGAGCCGAAGGGAAACCGAGUCUUAACUGGGCGUUAAGUUGCAGGGUAUAGACCCGAAACCCGGUGAUCUAGCCAUGGGCAGGUUGAAGGUUGGGUAACACUAACUGGAGGACCGAACCGACUAAUGUUGAAAAAUUAGCGGAUGACUUGUGGCUGGGGGUGAAAGGCCAAUCAAACCGGGAGAUAGCUGGUUCUCCCCGAAAGCUAUUUAGGUAGCGCCUCGUGAAUUCAUCUCCGGGGGUAGAGCACUGUUUCGGCAAGGGGGUCAUCCCGACUUACCAACCCGAUGCAAACUGCGAAUACCGGAGAAUGUUAUCACGGGAGACACACGGCGGGUGCUAACGUCCGUCGUGAAGAGGGAAACAACCCAGACCGCCAGCUAAGGUCCCAAAGUCAUGGUUAAGUGGGAAACGAUGUGGGAAGGCCCAGACAGCCAGGAUGUUGGCUUAGAAGCAGCCAUCAUUUAAAGAAAGCGUAAUAGCUCACUGGUCGAGUCGGCCUGCGCGGAAGAUGUAACGGGGCUAAACCAUGCACCGAAGCUGCGGCAGCGACACUAUGUGUUGUUGGGUAGGGGAGCGUUCUGUAAGCCUGUGAAGGUGUACUGUGAGGUAUGCUGGAGGUAUCAGAAGUGCGAAUGCUGACAUAAGUAACGAUAAAGCGGGUGAAAAGCCCGCUCGCCGGAAGACCAAGGGUUCCUGUCCAACGUUAAUCGGGGCAGGGUGAGUCGACCCCUAAGGCGAGGCCGAAAGGCGUAGUCGAUGGGAAACAGGUUAAUAUUCCUGUACUUGGUGUUACUGCGAAGGGGGGACGGAGAAGGCUAUGUUGGCCGGGCGACGGUUGUCCCGGUUUAAGCGUGUAGGCUGGUUUUCCAGGCAAAUCCGGAAAAUCAAGGCUGAGGCGUGAUGACGAGGCACUACGGUGCUGAAGCAACAAAUGCCCUGCUUCCAGGAAAAGCCUCUAAGCAUCAGGUAACAUCAAAUCGUACCCCAAACCGACACAGGUGGUCAGGUAGAGAAUACCAAGGCGCUUGAGAGAACUCGGGUGAAGGAACUAGGCAAAAUGGUGCCGUAACUUCGGGAGAAGGCACGCUGAUAUGUAGGUGAAGUCCCUCGCGGAUGGAGCUGAAAUCAGUCGAAGAUACCAGCUGGCUGCAACUGUUUAUUAAAAACACAGCACUGUGCAAACACGAAAGUGGACGUAUACGGUGUGACGCCUGCCCGGUGCCGGAAGGUUAAUUGAUGGGGUUAGCGGUAACGCGAAGCUCUUGAUCGAAGCCCCGGUAAACGGCGGCCGUAACUAUAACGGUCCUAAGGUAGCGAAAUUCCUUGUCGGGUAAGUUCCGACCUGCACGAAUGGCGUAAUGAUGGCCAGGCUGUCUCCACCCGAGACUCAGUGAAAUUGAACUCGCUGUGAAGAUGCAGUGUACCCGCGGCAAGACGGAAAGACCCCGUGAACCUUUACUAUAGCUUGACACUGAACAUUGAGCCUUGAUGUGUAGGAUAGGUGGGAGGCUUUGAAGUGUGGACGCCAGUCUGCAUGGAGCCGGCCUUGAAAUACCACCCUUUAAUGUUUGAUGUUCUAACGUUGGCCCCUGACCGGGGUUGCGGACAGUGUCUGGUGGGUAGUUUGACUGGGGCGGUCUCCUCCUAAAGAGUAACGGAGGAGCACGAAGGUUGGCUAAUCCUGGUCGGACAUCAGGAGGUUAGUGCAAUGGCAUAAGCCAGCUUGACUGCGAGCGUGACGGCGCGAGCAGGUGCGAAAGCAGGUCAUAGUGAUCCGGUGGUUCUGAAUGGAAGGGCCAUCGCUCAACGGAUAAAAGGUACUCCGGGGAUAACAGGCUGAUACCGCCCAAGAGUUCAUAUCGACGGCGGUGUUUGGCACCUCGAUGUCGGCUCAUCACAUCCUGGGGCUGAAGUAGGUCCCAAGGGUAUGGCUGUUCGCCAUUUAAAGUGGUACGCGAGCUGGGUUUAGAACGUCGUGAGACAGUUCGGUCCCUAUCUGCCGUGGGCGCUGGAGAACUGAGGGGGGCUGCUCCUAGUACGAGAGGACCGGAGUGGACGCAUCACUGGUGUUCGGGUUGUCAUGCCAAUGGCACUGCCCGGUAGCUAAAUGCGGAAGAGAUAAGUGCUGAAAGCAUCUAAGCACGAAACUUGCCCCGAGAUGAGUUCUCCCUGACUCCUUGAGAGUCCUGAAGGAACGUUGAAGACGACGACGUUGAUAGGCCGGGUGUGUAAGCGCAGCGAUGCGUUGAGCUAACCGGUACUAAUGAACCGUGAGG
RNAcentral lists this ribosomal RNA (2791 nucleotides) under Escherichia coli. RNAcentral describes it as "partial 23S ribosomal RNA". It matches the Rfam family "Bacterial large subunit ribosomal RNA". The record is from RNAcentral. Lineage: Bacteria; Pseudomonadati; Pseudomonadota; Gammaproteobacteria; Enterobacterales; Enterobacteriaceae.